CCUAUGAAGGACGACGAGAAGCAUCU
Molecule: non-coding RNA, 26 nt
Filed under: Rattus norvegicus (Norway rat)
Lineage: Eukaryota; Metazoa; Chordata; Mammalia; Rodentia; Muridae
Source: RNAcentral